Molecule: non-coding RNA, 825 nt
Organism: Paramuricea clavata
Lineage: Eukaryota; Metazoa; Cnidaria; Anthozoa; Malacalcyonacea; Plexauridae
Source: the annotation of a GenBank genome assembly
GUUGAACUGUAACCGUAAGUUCACGUGUAUAUAGAAUACAUGAACUUACGUAUGUAUACAUGAACUUACGGUUACAGCUCAACAGCUGGCCUCUGUAGCUCAGUUGGUUAGAGCGCUGCACCGGAAUCGCUGGGCCGUAGGUUCAAUUCUUACCAGAUGACCUUGUGAUUCAUUUUUUGCAGUCGUUCCUGGACAGGUCUUAAAAUGUAUAUAUAUACUCACUUGGAUUACAAACUCUAAGAACAGCAUUCAAAUAUUAAUACCACCAAGUGAAGUGCAAGAAAAAAAAAAGAAAAAAAAAGAAACCAGAUCAUUGCAGUCCACCUUAUCACAACCCGCACACCCGAUCACCUAUAUAUACAUGAACUUACGGUAACCACUCAACAUGCAGCUGGCCUCUGUAGCUCAGUUGGUUAGAGCGCUGCAACGGAAUCGCAUGGCCGUAGGUUCAAUUCUUUCCUAAAGACCCUACGAACGAGCAUGAGUGCUCAAUUUGUUUUGUGUUAAAUUUCAGUGAAUAUCCUUGCACUAUUUACCUCCGGCUAGGGUCAAUAAUUGUGAAUUCUACCUAAAAAAACACAAACACAUAAACAUGCUAGCCAAACAAAAACAUUGUCAAAUAUUAACAUGGAAAGUGUAUUAGUUUAUAGCCCUCUAAAUUAAGAGCAACAACUUCGUUGUUGCAACGAUAUUUGAAGCAUAUUUUCUUUCAAGUAGGCAUUUUGUUUACAUUAAAUUUAAUGGGACAAAGAUAGACAAAGAAGCGAAUUGUGUUUGAGGGAAUGGAAAGACGAAGUAGGAUAAGACACUGUUCUAAAGAAAAAA